This 888-nucleotide long non-coding RNA is filed under the name Strongylocentrotus purpuratus (purple sea urchin). Its description in RNAcentral is "uncharacterized LOC115928913". Lineage: Eukaryota; Metazoa; Echinodermata; Echinoidea; Camarodonta; Strongylocentrotidae. The record is from RNAcentral.
CCUCAUUAUUUUAAUAAGAAAUUUUUCUAUCUGUGAUGGAAGUUUUUAUGUACGAUUGCCUGAUCUGAAGACAAGACUUUCGCUGCAUGCAUAUUUAAUGUAUGACGUCACCCGAACAGAGUGAGAGCUCGAGGUUUUCUUUGAAAGUUUGAUGGAAAAUGUACAGAGACACUUGUCGCAGUUAAUGCAUGCAGUACCAAAUGCUUGCUUUCUUGGAGUAUGUGCUUGAAACAAGAAUGUCCUGGAGAAAACAGACCACCACAAGAGAAGGGAUUGAGAAGGAGGGCUUCCUGUUGACAGAUCAGGGGGUGCCUUGAGGUUCCACUCUUGAUGUUCUGCCCCUUACCUGAAAGCGAUGGCCUCUUGUGCCUGACAUAUUAGGAGCAAAGCACAAUGGACUGCUGGCUUAUUGGAAUUGGUUACAAAGAUACAAGUGGACUUGUCUGUAGUAGUUGCUGAAGAGGAGCAGUCAGCACAAGGAGCGUGUGCCUCCAAAACGACGUGGGAACUUCUCCCAAGUUCAUCUCAAAUCACAAGGCUCUUCAGGAAUCAAGAUGUAACAAUGGAGGUUGAGAAGGAGUUUGCGACCCUCCAGAUUUGGACUACUCGCUAUAUACAUUCUCAAACAAUGGAUUGUAGCACUUCUGCACAAAACUCAACAAGUCAUGAUUGAGGAAAACGCAACAAAUACUCAGUUGAGCAUUGAUUUAUGUGACUGGUAUUAGGGUAGGUUUCAGCUUGGUAAUUUUAUAUAAACUAUGUCCCAAAAGAACCUCGUUGGUCCUUAUGGUUCCACGCCACAAGCUGCUCCCUCCCCUGUUUCGGUAUACCGAACCCAGACUAUCAAGGGAUCAAAUGAAUUAAAAUCUACACUUGAUUACAAAUGAA